This 200-nucleotide long non-coding RNA is filed under the name Cicer arietinum (chickpea). RNAcentral describes it as "long non-coding RNA (CARI_LNC003429)". Lineage: Eukaryota; Viridiplantae; Streptophyta; Magnoliopsida; Fabales; Fabaceae. The record is from RNAcentral.
UUGCAUCUUCUCCUCUGCUGUCACGCCUCUAAUUGCAAAGUACCGCUCCAAUUUUUGGAUCCACCCGUACGCGUCGUCCCCAAAAAAAAUAGGGAUUUCCAAUCUUCUCCAACAAUUUGGAUUCAGACUCCGCUGAUGACUCUCUCCUUCAUUCUCACUUUCGCUUCCAUCCUCCCGCGAGUGUCCAUUUCCGUUUAUCC